UUUGGAGAUAGAAAGAUGCAGCCACAAGGAUGAUUUUAAGAUCUACAUCUUUUGUGAAAGAAUUUUUGUAUUUGAAGUUUGUAUAAAGAAGUUACAGAGUGUUGAAAAUAACAUAUGUAAUUUAGAGGUAGUAAGUAAGUCAUUUUGUUGAUAGUAAUGAUUAGAGCCAUAUCAUGAGUUUUUGGAUGAAUUUUUGGCUAAAUUUUUUAAAAUUGUAUAUUAUUGAGUUCAAAAGCUAUAUAUCAAAAUCUAUGAUAUUUGAAUAUUUAGUUUGUGACAUAUGCAGAAAUUUGCACAUAGAUGUAUAUAAGCUAAGGUUUGAAGCUACUAUUAGAAUUUUGGCAAUAUCUCAAGAUUUGUAAAGAAUUUAUAGUUAAAAUUUGUUAUGGUAGUUGUUAAAAAUACACUAGUACUUCAUGUAAAAUUUGGAUUUGUUUGGAUGGUCCAAUCGUGACAUAUGAACUAUUG
Molecule: long non-coding RNA, 468 nt
Filed under: Physcomitrium patens
Lineage: Eukaryota; Viridiplantae; Streptophyta; Bryopsida; Funariales; Funariaceae
Description: long non-coding RNA (PPAT_LNC006305)
Source: RNAcentral